AACGAACGCUGGCGGCAGGCCUAACACAUGCAAGUCGAGCGAGGACUUCGGUCCUAGCGGCGGACGGGGGAGUAACGCGUGGGAACGUGCCCUUUGCUUCGGAAUAGCCCUGGGAAACUGGGAGUAAUACCGGAUGAGCCCUUUGGGGGAAAGAUUUAUCGGCGAAGGAUCGGCCCGCGUUGGAUUCGGUAGUUGGUGGGGUAAUGGCCUACUAAGCCGACGAUCCAUAGCUGGUUUGAGAGGAUGGUCAGCCACACUGGGACUGAGACACGGCCCAGACUCCUACGGGAGGCAGCAGUGGGGAAUCUUAGACAAUGGGGGAAACCCUGAUCUAGCCAUGCCGCGUGAGCGAUGAAGGCCUUAGGGUUGUAAAGCUCUUUCAGCUGGGAAGAUAAUGACGGUACCAGCAGAAGAAGCCCCGGCUAACUCCGUG
RNAcentral lists this ribosomal RNA (433 nucleotides) under uncultured bacterium. RNAcentral's name for it is "partial 16S ribosomal RNA". It matches the Rfam family "Bacterial small subunit ribosomal RNA", at positions 29 to 507 of the family's 1533-position model. The record is from RNAcentral.